GUUUUUUUGUUUAUAUAAAAGAUUUGACCUGCCCAAUGAUUCAAUGUUUAAUGGCUGCAGUAUUUUGACUGUACAAAGGUAGCAUAAUCACUUGUCCUUUAAUUGAGGUCUAGUAUGAAUGGUUCGAUGAAAAAUAUACUUUCUUUCUUUUAUAAUUAAAACUUAAUUUUUCAGUUAAAAAGCUGAAAUAUUAUUAUAGGACGAGAAGACCCUAUAGAACUUUAUUUUUUAUUUUUUAUAUUUAAUAUGGAAAAUAUUUUAAAUAUAUAAAAGUUAAAUUUUGUUGGGGUGACAGAAAAAUUCUCAUAACUUUUUUUGCUUUUAUCAUUUUAAGUGAAUAGUUGAUCCUUUACUAUGGAUAAAAGAUUAAGUUACCUUAGGGAUAACAGCGUUAUUGUUCUGAAGAGUUCAUAUCGAUAGAACAGUUUGCGACCUCGAUGUUGGAUUAUAAUAAGAUAUAGGAGUAGAAUAUUAUAUUCUAGGUCUGUUCGACCUUUAAACUUUUACA
RNAcentral lists this ribosomal RNA (508 nucleotides) under Melymacra apicalis. RNAcentral describes it as "partial 16S ribosomal RNA". It matches the Rfam family "Bacterial large subunit ribosomal RNA", at positions 1831 to 2600 of the family's 2925-position model. Lineage: Eukaryota; Metazoa; Arthropoda; Insecta; Hemiptera; Miridae. The record is from RNAcentral.